RNAcentral lists this long non-coding RNA (570 nucleotides) under Musa acuminata (dwarf banana). RNAcentral describes it as "long non-coding RNA (MACU_LNC003263)". Lineage: Eukaryota; Viridiplantae; Streptophyta; Magnoliopsida; Zingiberales; Musaceae. The record is from RNAcentral.
UGGGAAAUUUUGAUAGUAAAAACGAAAGGGCUUUUCUCUCCAAUCAACAUAAACGUACCUUUACAAAAGGAACUUUCUCGCUAUCAAGCAAACCACCACUCCAACAAAUACGUUGACAAGUGGACAUGAAAGCAGAGCCGUAUCAAGAGCGGGCUAGACGUUCAAAUCAAGAGAAACAACGCAGAAAACCAUUCUUGAUGCAACAUAACCAGGUAAAGAAAAAAAUAAAUUUGCUUGAAUCAAAAGAAAUAUACUAACACUACCAAGCAUGCGACAGCUCCAACAAAUGCAAUCUUAAAUGGAUGAAAUUUUCAGUCAUUUUGAACAAGCAAAAGAACAGUGUAACAUCAAAGGAUGAAAAAUAUCACCUCGACUGCCGAAUAUUUGGAAGCAGAGCCGUGAAACGAGCCGGGGAACGAACCCCAUUCUCCGUCUUCUCGAGGGGUCCGGACCGAGACACCCUACUCUCGAUUCCCCAUUCGCUCUCACCUCGGACCACCCCAUUCAAUCGAUUCUCUCACCCUCUCCGCCACUUUCUCGUUCUCGCACGCUCGCUUCGGCCCUAAAAGC